GGAUGUGAGGGCGAUCUGGCCACGAUUUCUGUCACCCCACUGAUUGCCAGAGUUGAUUCGGCUGAUCUGGCUGGCUGGGCAGGUGUCCCCUUCCUCCCUCACUGCUCCGUGUGCGUCCCUCCUGAAGCUGCGAGCUUGGUGGAAGAGGACAGCCUUCCCUGAACAGAGACGGCUGGUCCUCGGUCGAGGGAAUAGGAGUAGCUGCGCUCCCCUGCUGGACCCUCCAAAUAAGCUCUCAAGGUCCAUUUGUAGGAGAAUGUAGGGUAGUCAAGCUGCCAAGACUCCAGACAGUGUCUCCAAAUGAGACACUGCAUGUGGCCGUCUGCCUUUCUUU
Erinaceus europaeus (western European hedgehog) is the source of this 334-nucleotide unclassified non-coding RNA. Its record names the gene 7SK. It matches the Rfam family "7SK RNA". Rfam says of the family: 7SK was discovered as an abundant small nuclear RNA in the mid-70s but a possible function has only recently been suggested. Two independent studies have found that 7SK RNA binds the CDK9/cyclin T complex (known as elongation factor P-TEFb). The record is from Ensembl. NCBI's taxonomy places the organism in Eukaryota, Metazoa, Chordata, Mammalia, Eulipotyphla, Erinaceidae.